RNAcentral lists this transfer RNA (73 nucleotides) under Ailuropoda melanoleuca (giant panda). It matches the Rfam family "tRNA". Rfam says of the family: Transfer RNA (tRNA) molecules are approximately 80 nucleotides in length. Their secondary structure includes four short double-helical elements and three loops (D, anti-codon, and T loops). The record is from Rfam by way of RNAcentral. Lineage: Eukaryota; Metazoa; Chordata; Mammalia; Carnivora; Ursidae.
GCCUGGCUGGCUCUGUCAGAAGAGCAUAUGACUUUUGAUCGCAGGGUUGUGAGUUUGAACCCCACGUUGGGUG